UGGGGAAUAUUGCACAAUGGGCGCAAGCCUGAUGCAGCCAUGCCGCGUGUAUGAAGAAGGCCUUCGGGUUGUAAAGUACUUUCAGCGGGGAGGAAGGCGAUAAGGUUAAUAACCUUGUCGAUUGACGUUACCCGCAGAAGAAGCACCGGCUAACUCCGUGCCAGCAGCCGCGGUAAUACGGAGGGUGCAAGCGUUAAUCGGAAUUACUGGGCGUAAAGCGCACGCCGGCGGUUUGUCAAGUCGGAUGUGAAAUCCCCGGGCUCAACCUGGGAACUGCAUUCGAAACUGGCAGGCUAGAGUCUUGUAGAGGGGGGUAGAAUUCCAGGUGUAGCGGUGAAAUGCGUAGAGAUCUGGAGGAAUACCGGUGGCGAAGGCGGCCCCCUGGACAAAGACUGACGCUCAGGUGCGAAAGCGUGGGGAGCAAACA
RNAcentral lists this ribosomal RNA (427 nucleotides) under uncultured bacterium. Its description in RNAcentral is "partial 16S ribosomal RNA". It matches the Rfam family "Bacterial small subunit ribosomal RNA", at positions 355 to 774 of the family's 1533-position model. The record is from RNAcentral.